CUGUAGCCUUCUUGUAGAAACAUAACAUUCCGAUUCUACGCGAUGUUACGCCUUCGUCUCGCUGUCCUUCUCGCUGCCUGCUUCGUGGUAGCCAAGGCGGGCCAUAAGUGCUCCCGUUACUGCGAGACUCCAGCGAAGACUUACGUGUGUUGUGAUCCCCCAAUUCCCCCUCGCUGCCCCUACCCCCCUCCGUGCGCUGACUUCUUCGACGGCAACGUCCCU
Molecule: long non-coding RNA, 222 nt
Organism: Penaeus indicus
Lineage: Eukaryota; Metazoa; Arthropoda; Malacostraca; Decapoda; Penaeidae
Exons: 3
Source: RefSeq, a predicted model, not a curated record